CGGAGGAUCCAAGCGUUAUCCGGAAUCAUUGGGUUUAAAGGGUCCGUAGGCGGUUUAAUAAGUCAGUGGUGAAAUCUGGUCGCUCAACGAUCAAACGGCCAUUGAUACUGUUAGACUUGAAUUAUUGGGAAGUAACUAGAAUAUGUAGUGUAGCGGUGAAAUGCUUAGAUAUUACAUGGAAUACCAAUUGCGAAGGCAGGUUACUACCAGUGGAUUGACGCUGAUGGACGAAAGCGUGGGGAGCGAACAGGAUUAGAUACCCUGGUAGUCCACGCCGUAAACGAUGGAUACUAGCUGUUCGGAGCAAUCUGAGUGGCUAAGCGAAAGUGAUAGUAUCCCACCUGGGGAGUACGUUCGCAAGAAUG
This 365-nucleotide ribosomal RNA is filed under the name uncultured organism. RNAcentral's name for it is "bacterial SSU rRNA". It matches the Rfam family "Bacterial small subunit ribosomal RNA", at positions 526 to 896 of the family's 1533-position model. The record is from RNAcentral.